Molecule: long non-coding RNA, 3505 nt
Organism: Scylla paramamosain (green mud crab)
Lineage: Eukaryota; Metazoa; Arthropoda; Malacostraca; Decapoda; Portunidae
Exons: 2
Source: RefSeq, a predicted model, not a curated record
GGCACCUGAAGAUAUUUCCUGAGGGAGUUCAGAUUUAAAACACAAUAAUUUGGUGUCAUUUGACAAUUACUGCGGACUACCCAUUCUAAAUUUCUAGAAAGAAAAAAAAAAGAAAAAAAUUAACUCCACCCUACUGUAGAUGUACAAACUGGUCAAGAUAAUAAGAUGAGGGACAUGCGCAUCAUAUAUAAAACACACAAACCAGAAAGACAUUACAAGUGACAAAAUGACUCAAUUAUAGAGAUAAUUUCACAAAGUGGUGGUAUUCCUACCCAUGGGGGAACAGGAGGAGGCAGUAGGAACAUGCCAAAACGAUAAUUACUCCCAGUGAGGUCUGAAGCACUGGAUCAUGGGGUGGUGUGAACUUAUCAUUAAACCCAGCUGUGACCUCACUGAAUGUUUCCCUUUGUGUCUCACAACACAAGGGGGCAGUCACAGCCUACCCUCUAGAGACAACUCUCUUCUUCCACAUAAAACUACAAGCACUUAAAUUACUACAAGCUACUACAAACACUAAAAUUCAAAAUUAUCAUGGCGACUCCUACACCAGCCUCGGAGACCCCCAUCUGGGGAGGGGACCACAAAUGUCUCCAGGUCGGACUGCUCUUCUGAUAAUGACCCUAAGUGUCUUGACACCCCCUCAAUUUUUUCUUCGUUAACUUCUGCAACAUCUGCGGUCUAAGAUCUAAUUUUCAAUCUGUAGAACACCAUCUCUCCUCUUCGAAACCUCAUCUUCUUUUCCUCACUGAAACUCAGGUGUCUGAGGCAACUGACAGUAGCCCCUUUUCUGUUCCUUCCUACUUUCUCUAUCCUCAAUUUCAAUCCAAAGCUGGAUGUAAGAGGUAAGGUGAGGUUAGGUUAGGUGAGGUUAAGCCAGUCAGGAAAUAAGCCCACUAACCCAGUCACCCAAUAAGCCUCACUAAGCCAGUCACUAAGCCACUAAAAUAAUACCACAGUAAUCCACAAGUCAUUUAGCCAAUAAGCCAGUAAGACGACAAACCAAUAAGGAGGAGGAGGAGGAGGGGGAGGAGGAGGAGGAGAAGGAGAAGGAGGAGGAGAAGGAGGAGGAAGAAUAGAAGAAGAAGGAAGAGGUGGAGGAGGAGGAGGAGGAGGAGCAGGAGGAGGAGGAUACGUAAGAUAUCCAUAGCCUGCUCUGCCCUGACCUGCCCGUCUGCUUUGCCCUAUAAACAUGGGUAUUUUGUCCUUUAUUUCCCCUUCCCCUCUCCUUCCACACCUCCCAAGAUGAAGGCAGGAUGAUGAUGUCGUGUUCUUGGUCGUGAAUGACCAAGAACGAUGUAAUUAUUGUGAAUGUGGAAAAAAAAAUAAAUAAAUAUGAUACUGGCCAAGGUAAUGGUGGUGGUGGUCGGUUAUACAAGCAUGGUCUUUCCCUGGCUUAUUUCAUCUUUACUUCUGCUUCCCUAUCUUUCGAAAUUAGUAAAAUCAUAUCUUGCGACUUAAUCUCGAUUUCUACUUUAAUUCCUCUCUUAUUAAUACGUUACCAUCCAUGUUCAGCUAUUAUUUAUUGUACUAUUAAUGAGUACUGCCAAUUAAAACAUUUGAUAGAUAUAUUAUUUUACUGGCAUGUAUGAACUUAAAAAAAAGAAAAAGAAAGAAAAGAAAAGAAAAAAAAAACAGAUAAGUAGAUAGACAAAUAUGAAGAUUAAUUGAUUGACAGGAUUGACCAUAGGGCUUCGGGACACACGGGUAAAUGGGUGGGAGGGAGGGAUAGUAUGUGUGUGUGUGUGUGUGUGUGUGUGUGUGUGCACUUGCUCACACUAGUGACGACUACGAGGGAGAGGAUUGGGAUGAAAUUCUAAUCAAAUAAUAGUAGUAAGUACUCCUUCAAUCAAUCUUCUUAGCAUCUAUUAUAAUAAUCUAUUCUGUUCAGAGUGUUCUAAAAUGUUACAUUCAACUAUAUAAUCAAUACUGUGGAAGAAGAAAAACAGCUUUAACUAGGUUACAAAAUACUGUGUGAGGAGGGAGGUGGUCUCAGCGACUUUGGCUGGAAUAGUUGGACACAUUUUAGCGGCAUUUAGAUAUGUAGAUAGCAACAUUUGAAAACCUGGGUUGCAACCCUGUGACUAUAUACCACGGGUCGGCCGGUCAGUCGCGUGUCGUCAGCGGCCGUGAUCAGACCGCCGCGCCGCCUAAGUUCCUUACUCUGUUGACUCGUCAGCUUCCUCGCGCGGCAGAACUUGCACCAGAUUUGUUUCUCGGGUGUCACUGCGCCAGGACAGCCUUGUUUCGUGUCGCUAUUAUCCACUUUCUCACUUCGUACACAUUUAAGUAUUGUUUUAUUUCUUUUCCUUUUAUAACAAAUAAUUCGCCUUUCACCAACAGUUUCUUGGCGUAACUUUUCGAAUCGCGAACUCAUUCAUGAUCAAUUUGUUCCCUGGUUUGUUGAGCGAUGCGUCGCCGCUCCUUGUCUUGGUGAUUCGCGAGGGUCAUCUCAGCCUGCCACGCCCACGUCCAAGGGGGAAGACCAACACGGUGCUAAUUCAACGCGCAGGUGCGAGAAAGAGAAAAGGAGAAGGACAAGCAGCAACCAGAUCUUGAUGCAGUGAAGAUACGCGGGUCUGUUAUUCGUUGCUGGGUGAGGAAGACAAGACAACAUAGAAUCAAGUAAUAGUAUCAAGAGAAGAAUAUCGGGUUACUUCCAGAAUCCAAUAAAAGAAACAUGAGUCAUUCUUUCAAGGGAGGAUAAGGAACGGAAUCAUAUUUCUUCCAUAUUCAGGUUAAAACAAAAGACGACAUUAUUUCAAGAGAGCAGUAUCAUAUUACUUUAAAAAAUAAAAUAAUCAAACAUCAGAAGUCACAGGUUCAGCGCAGGAUAAGAAAGGGAUCACUUACAAAUUAGGACUAAAACAAGCGGCGUCAUUAUUUCAAGAGCAGAGUAUCGUAUCCCUUCUGUAAUCUGGUUAAAACGACAGACAUCACAGUUUCGAGCCAAGGAAGUGUAUUCAGUCACUUAUAAAAUAAGUUCAGAGCGUUACCUGAUGUGUCUUGUCUGCGUAUAGAAGGAACAAAGGAACACGUUAUACCUUUGAGGAGAGUCUGCUUGAAUUGUACCUGUCUACUGAGGCGAAAUAAACUAAUAGAAUAAUAAGUGGGCGGUGCAUCUGAGAAGGAGGAAGUGUCGCGGGUACCUGCACAAUAUCUUAGUGGUAAUCUUGUGUUUUGUGACUGAUGGCAGAGGAAGGAACAAAGAAAGUAAUUAGUGACAGAAAAUAAAAGUAAAACCAAAGAGAGAAACUAGAAUAAAAUAUACUUAGUGAAUUAAACGAAGGUAAAACAAUUAAAAGAUAACAAGAAAAAAAAAACAGCAAAAAAAAAAAAGAAAAAAUAAGUACUACUAAAAUAAAGAAAAAUAAUAAUAAAGUAAAAAACAAAAGACGAGUUGUUUAGUUACUGAAAAGAGAGAAAGAGAGAGAGAGAGAGAGAGAGAGAGAGAGAGAGAGAGAGAGAGAGAGAGAGAGAGAGAGAGAGAGAGAGAGAGAGAGAGAGA